This 770-nucleotide ribosomal RNA is filed under the name uncultured Neocallimastigales. RNAcentral describes it as "partial large subunit ribosomal RNA". It matches the Rfam family "Eukaryotic large subunit ribosomal RNA", at positions 26 to 628 of the family's 3401-position model. Lineage: Eukaryota; Fungi; Neocallimastigomycota; Neocallimastigomycetes; Neocallimastigales. The record is from RNAcentral.
CGUCUAUAUACGUAUAGCAUAUCAAUAAGCGGAGGAAAAGAAACUAACUAGGAUUCCCUCAGUAACGGCGAGUGAAGCGGGAAGAGCUCAAAUUUGAAAUCUUCAAGGUUCUACCUUGACGAAUUGUAGUUUAAAGAAGUGUUUUCUGUUGGAGUUUUGGUAAAAGUUCUUUGGAAUAGGACAUCAUAGAGGGUGAGAAUCCCGUAUUUGACCAUUAUUUCCAACUUUGUGAUACACUUUCAAAGAGUCGGAUUGUUUGGGAAUGCAGUCCAAAAUGGGUGGUAAAUUUCAUCUAAAGCUAAAUAUUGGCGAGAGACCGAUAGCGAACAAGUACCGUGAGGGAAAGAUGAAAAGAACUUUGAAAAGAGAGUUAAACAGUACGUGAAAUUGUCAAAAGGGAAGCGUUUGACACCAGUGUUGUUUUCUCGAAAAUCAAUUAAAAGAUUGGAUUUUGUGUUGUAUUGACUUUAUCAGCUUUCUGCACUUUUUCCUGUCUUUUUUAAUGCACUUUUCGUUUAACAAGUCAACAUCAAUUUCUUUUGUUGUAAAAGGGUCAUUGGAAGGUGGCUUUCUUUUCGGAGAAAGUGUUUAUAGCCUUUGACUUCUGCAAUCGGAGAGAUUGAGGUCUGCAGCGUAGAUCCUUCGGGUUAGAUACAUUUGUGCUAAGUUAUAGCCUUUCAUAGACAACUUGUUGACUAUGAUCAGUCAUGUAGCUUACUCGCUUAUGUCAUUUUACCUACGCUUAGGAUGUUGACGAUCAGCUGAGCGCG